UAAGGAAUAUUGGUCAAUGGGCGGAAGCCUGAACCAGCCAUGCCGCGUGCAGGAUGACUGCCCUAUGGGUUGUAAACUGCUUUUGUCCAGGAAUAAACCUAGAUACGUGUAUCUAGCUGAAUGUACUGGAAGAAUAAGGAUCGGCUAACUCCGUGCCAGCAGCCGCGGUAAUACGGAGGAUCCGAGCGUUAUCCGGAUUUAUUGGGUUUAAAGGGUGCGUAGGCGGCCUAUUAAGUCAGGGGUGAAAUACGGUGGCUCAACCAUCGCAGUGCCUUUGAUACUGAUGGGCUUGAAUCCAUUUGAAGUGGGCGGAAUAAGACAAGUAGCGGUGAAAUGCAUAGAUAUGUCUUAGAACUCCGAUUGCGAAGGCAGCUCACUAAGCUGGUAUUGACGCUGAUGCACGAAAGCGUGGGGGAUCGAACAGGAUUAGAUACCCUGGUAGUCCACGCCCUAAAACGAUGAUAACUCNAUGUUGGCGAUAGAUAGCCAGCGUCCAAGCGAAAGCGUUAAGUUAUCCACCUGGGGAGUACGCCCGCAAGGGUGAAACUCAAAUGAAUUGACGGGGUCAUAGCUGUUUCCU
This 580-nucleotide ribosomal RNA is filed under the name uncultured bacterium. RNAcentral's name for it is "partial 16S ribosomal RNA". It matches the Rfam family "Bacterial small subunit ribosomal RNA", at positions 355 to 1375 of the family's 1533-position model. The record is from RNAcentral.